CUACGGGGCGCAGCAGUGGGGAAUAUUGGACAAUGGGCGCAAGCCUGAUCCAGCAAUGCCGCGUGAGUGAAGACGGCCUUAGGGUUGUAAAACUCUUUCGCUAGGGAAGAUAAUGACUGUACCUAGUAAAGAAGUCCCGGCUAACUCCGUGCCAGCAGCCGCGGUAAUACGGAGGGGACUAGCGUUGUUCGGAAUUACUGGGCGUAAAGAGUUCGUAGGCGGACUGACAAGUUAGAGGUGAAAUCCCAGGGCUCAACCCUGGAACUGCCUUUAAAACUGUCAGUCUAGAGACCGGAAGAGGUUAGGGGAAUACCUAGUGUAGAGGUGAAAUUCGUAGAUAUUAGGUAGAACACCAGUGGCGAAGGCGCCUAACUGGUCCGGUACUGACGCUGAGGAACGAAAGCGUGGGGAGUAAACAGGAUUAGAUACCCGGGUAGUC
RNAcentral lists this ribosomal RNA (439 nucleotides) under uncultured bacterium. Its description in RNAcentral is "partial 16S ribosomal RNA". It matches the Rfam family "Bacterial small subunit ribosomal RNA", at positions 339 to 795 of the family's 1533-position model. The record is from RNAcentral.